Arvicanthis niloticus (Nile rat) is the source of this 128-nucleotide small nucleolar RNA. RefSeq annotates it as small nucleolar RNA SNORA40. The record is from RefSeq and is a predicted model, not a curated record. NCBI's taxonomy places the organism in Eukaryota, Metazoa, Chordata, Mammalia, Rodentia, Muridae.
UGUGUGUGUGCGUGUUUGUUCAAGUAGUGGACAAAGGCAGGUUGACAGGUACAAACAUACAUUGUUUCUACAUGCAACCCAGAAUUCAUUGCUCAGUAUGAGUUUUGAUAUGUAUCUGAAAAAAAAAU